AGAGUUUGAUCAUGGCUCAGAAUCAACGCUGGCGGCGCGCUUAACACAUGCAAGUCGAACGAGAAAGUGGAGCAAUCCAUGAGUAAAGUGGCGUACGGGUGAGUAACACGUGGGUAAUCUACCUUCUGGUGGGGAAUAACAUUGGGAAACCGAUGCUAAUACCGCAUAACCCCGCAAGGGAAAAGGAGAAAUUCGCCGGAAGAGGAGCCCGCGGCUGAUUAGCUAGUUGGUAGGGUAACGGCCUACCAAGGCGAAGAUCGGUAGCCGGCCUGAGAGGGCACACGGCCACACUGGCACUGAAACACGGGCCAGACUCCUACGGGAGGCAGCAGUGGGGAAUCUUGCACAAUGGGGGCAACCCUGAUGCAGCGACGCCGCGUGAGCGAUGAAGCCCUUCGGGGUGUAAAGCUCUUUCGGCAGGAACGAUAAUGACGGUACCUGAAGAAGAAGCUGCGGCUAACUACGUGCCAGCAGCCGCGGUAAUACGUAGGCAGCAAGCGUUGUUCGGAGUUACUGGGCGUAAAGAGUGCGUAGGCGGUUUUCUAAGUUUGGUGUGAAAUCUCCCGGCUCAACUGGGAGGGUGCGCCGAAAACUGGAAGGCUUGAGUAUGGGAGAGGUAAGCGGAAUUCCUGGUGUAGCGGUGAAAUGCGUAGAUAUCAGGAGGAACACCUGUGGUGUAGACAGCUUACUGGACCAUCACUGACGCUGAGGUACGAAAGCGUGGGUAGCAAACAGGAUUAGAUACCCUAGUAGUCC
Molecule: ribosomal RNA, 756 nt
Filed under: uncultured bacterium
Lineage: Bacteria
Description: bacterial SSU rRNA
Rfam family: Bacterial small subunit ribosomal RNA
Source: RNAcentral